This is a long non-coding RNA of Hemicordylus capensis (graceful crag lizard), 1434 nucleotides long. RefSeq lists it as uncharacterized. NCBI's taxonomy places the organism in Eukaryota, Metazoa, Chordata, Lepidosauria, Squamata, Cordylidae. The record is from RefSeq and is a predicted model, not a curated record. The transcript has 3 exons.
CCGGCUUCCUCCCGGAAAACUACAAGUUCCAUCAUGCAAUGCUGGGAGGAUUCCGUUCGUGGGAAGAAUCUUUAACCCUUUUGUAACCGGAGGGCGUUUCAGCCCCAGCAGCUUGGCGUGGCAAAGUGCUGCAUCGCUACGCUGUCCAAAAUGCCCCCUCAUACACCAAUAUGUACUAUUAAUAUACCCUCUAACAUUUUACAGUCAGGUGCAAAGCUGUUAUGUACUCCGUAACUUUUAUUCUUGCAGGCAACAAGGAUAACUGCUUGAGCUCCCACACUGUUCAAGCCUCUUUAUUUUUUGUAUAUAUAAACAUCGCACACUCAAGGCGACUCGCAGUUCAAAAAUAACACACCCAACCCCAACACACACACACACACACACUCUAACAGUCUGUCUACCCGAUCAUAAAAUCAGGGAACAGCAAUUGGCCUUUUAAAAUAGUAAUGUGAGUAGACAUUCAACCAAAGGCAUGCUGAAAUAAAACAGUUCUCACUUGGAAUUUCACUGCCCCCGCAAAGAGAUAUUUAUUUAUAUACUCUGCAAUCGCCCGUCCUGCCGUGGCUUCAGAAAAAGUCAUGUGUGAGAAGACAUUCAACCAAAGGCGUGCUGAAAUAAAACAGUUCUCACUCGGAAUUUCACUGCCCCCGCAAAGAGAGAUUUAUUUAUCUACUCUGCAAUCGCCCAUCCUGCACUGACUUCAGAAAAAGAGGCUUUCAAACAGAGGCUCAACAGCCAUCUCACAGGGAUGCUGUGUAGCAGAUUCCUGAAUGGAACAGGGGCCUGGAUGAGAAGACCUAAAAGGCCCCUUCCAAAUCUAAAAUGCUGUGACUUCUAGAUCCAUUCAUAAGACUUUGCCCACAGGAUCCAACCACAUUUUCUGUGAAGAAGAAAAUAAAAGAAGUGAGCUUUCUGGAAAAUGUAUAGAACUCUUUUUCACUUUCUUUUAAAAUAGAUGAUUACCUUAGAAUCCAUCUUCCCUGCAAAGUCUUGGGCUUAAACCUGUGGUCCUCUCCAUUCCCAUCUGCAUCCAGACCAACCUGGGAGCAGGGGCCUGUAUUUUUUGCUGUUACCCUAUCACCACGUAUAUUGACGAAGCAGAAUGAAUAAAUGAAUGAAGUCAAGUCACCAAGAGUAUUCUGCGUUGUAUUGUGGCCUUCAGUACCUGCUGAUCUAGGGAGGCAAUCCGCCUCUUAUGUACCACUCUUUCCCCAAAAGCCUGCUGUGCAGAAAGGCAAGUAAUGAGGAGAAUAAAAUUAACAAAUCUAGUCUUUUUGCUUCAAAGACACCACCCAGAAUGUCUGCUGCACCAGCCUCAAUGACAUUCAUUAGAAUUACUCAAGGCCAUACCAGUUGUUGCAAAAGAUGUGCCAAGAAGAUUGUACUCUUUAGUCUAGAGAGUUUUGGAAGUUCUUUUUAAGUUUGUAUUUCAUA